Molecule: long non-coding RNA, 501 nt
Filed under: Eucalyptus grandis
Lineage: Eukaryota; Viridiplantae; Streptophyta; Magnoliopsida; Myrtales; Myrtaceae
Description: long non-coding RNA (EGRA_LNC003908)
Source: RNAcentral
AGAGUCAACAAAAAACGAGGUUAGGGAUGAAUUCGGGGAGAUGGAUCUUGAAAAGACAGGUCAAAAUGAAGAAACGGAGUUGCCACACUCAAGCUUCACCGCUUCUAGCAAAAACUGACCAGCUUUCUUGAAUGUAUUAUCAUUCAAAAUUAAGUGGUGACGGACUUAAGUGAUGAGGUUAUUGCCUCAAUGAGAUUUGACAAGGAUCAUCUUUCCUUUUCAUUCCCUCUUCUAUUUUUCGGGUUUUGACUUUUAUCCUAUAGAAUUCGCCUUCCUUACUCUCCUCAGUACAUCAGCUGUGAGACAACUCAAGUGUUGCCUUAUUUGUGAAAGGCCUUCACUGGUUCAUAAGUCAUGUUCACCUCAAAAUGGUCACUACAUUAUAUGGUUAUUCAAAAUGUACCUUUUCAAAAUUGGCACAUGUGGGAGGUCGUUACAGUCUCUCCCUCCUUAAACACUCAACCCCCACUACUAUCAUUGAUAAUUAACUCACAAUCCACA